Molecule: long non-coding RNA, 2092 nt
Organism: Aquila chrysaetos chrysaetos
Lineage: Eukaryota; Metazoa; Chordata; Aves; Accipitriformes; Accipitridae
Exons: 2
Source: RefSeq, a predicted model, not a curated record
AGGUAAUUGUAAUAACCGCAGGUGCUACUAUGAAUGUCAUGGAAGCCCCAGACAUCAAAGAGACUAGACCACCUGCCAUUAACCUGCAGAAUCAUUAACCUGCACUAAAUUAAGACAGAAAAUUCCUGAGCGAGGUGUUACAUUUCCACCCUGUUUUACUCUGCUGCUGUCCUUCAUCCUAUAUGGCAGGGGAGCAUCCGACUGUUAGAGAUUAAUUAGUAAUUAAGAGUUGGUUCAAAAACAUCGCAAGUUCAGAGAAGAAAGCAACCUAAUCAUGUUAGAAAAUAGUUAGAAAUAUAAACUCCAGUCUCCUGGGAUUUUCUUUUGAGCAGGAAAUUUAAAUAACUUUGUUUUGAACAUACCAAAUUGACCCCACUAACUAGAUGUAAUAAACAAAUGGAGAUAUUUAAGCUGACAUUUGAACAGUGUCAAAGCCUUCUAAGCUUGUUCUGAGUAGAUUAGUAGAUAAGUGCUAGCUUUCCUAUUCUGGGAUAUGUUCCAAGGCAAGUAUGAGGACUGAUGAUUUCAUUUAACUCUAAAGGGGACAACACUGUAUAUUUAAAUAAUGCAAAUAAUUUGCGUAAUUCUUAUGACAAGCUACCAGUUGACACUGAUGGUGUUGGGAUAAAAAACCCUCUCUGCUUGGCACUGUAUCUGAGGGCAAAACCUACAUUUCCUCUACCUACCGUUCAAUCAGUAUGUGAAACCAUAAUUACUAGCAUGGGGUAUGUAGUUUCUCAAAACCACAUAGCAUAUCUCAUCUGAUCUAAUCCCAGAAAAACUGACUUAAUAAAUCUUUUUUGAAACAAGGGAUAUCAUUAGAUGUUUCAAAGACUCAGUAAUAUAUUUGUAGACUUAAGUAAGACAGUGGCAAAUAAAUUCAGAGCCAGCUCCCUGUAUCCCAGCAGUACUGACAAAUCUGAAAGUAUUUUGGUAUGUUGUUGGGAGAAACUUGCCAACUAUUGCUACUCAUUCAGUUUUGCUGUAUCUGUCGGCGAUAACAAGUCCACAGAGCUGCUUUCAAAACAGCUCUUAAAUAUUUGCCCAAAUGCAUCCUUACUCAGCAAAAUACAUGCAGAAGUCUCUAGUAUGUUUAAUGAUUCUGACUUCAAUCCAAUUCCAGUGCUCAACGUUGCUGAGAAGAACCCCUCUAAUAUGAUUACCUUGUAGGGCAUCAAUCUAGGGAAAUCUUCAAAACUGAGCUUAUAAAACAGAACAACACUAGUUCUUGGCCAUCAGGACUGUAAACCUCUAAAUUAAUGAUUGUUCUGUCACUCCAUUCUGUGUGACCUUCCAAAAGGGUGAUUAAUUAAUCCAUGGGUACCUCAUUAGAUCCCUAAAGCUUCAGGAGGCACGCAAGCUUUUCCCAAUGAGGUUGCACACUGGAACUAUUAUAAGCUUUGUACCGCAUUACUUACCUUCCCUUUCCUUAGAAAUGAGGGUUGCCAGUGACUUAUGUAUGAUUAUGCACAUUCAGCAGCAUACUGGCAAGACAGAAUUUGCAUGUGUAACAUACAGCAGGCAGAGCCAUUUGCGUUUGAAAGAAAGAAGAAUUUCUGUAGCAAACCACUUCUUCCAGCUGUGCUUUAGCAGCAAAGAAUAAGCCAGUUGUCUGUAGCCAAAGACACAACGACAAUGAUGGGUUUCCUGCUGUGAAUCCAAUUCAAAUUCUCUGCUGAGGAAAGAACCUUAGCCUGGGGGAGAGUCAGGAUUUCCAGUGCGCUAUCUCUUUGGUUCUUCCUUCUGGCUAGUUUAGACAUACCUCCUGCUCUGUGAGCUGACUGUGAAUCCCAUUCCUACCUGCCUGACUGCAGGCCCGGUACAGAGUGGACAAGUGAGCGACAGAAAUCUGAAAUUAGUGCUGGGAGCCAGACAUUUUAAAAUUACACACUGAUAUGCUGAACUUUGCUUAAGUCUUUGUGGACCCAAGCAUAAGGUCUUUUUAUGUGCCCUUGGCAGUGUUAAGAGAUUUUGUUUACAGAGAUUCGGAGUCUUUACAUUUACAAGUGCUAUUUAAUAGUUGCGUUUGAAUGUAAUUAUUAAAAGGCAUUUGAAGGUAACUAUUAAAAGGCAUUUUAUGGAAUCUAACAAA